RNAcentral lists this transfer RNA (64 nucleotides) under Andrena fulva. Its description in RNAcentral is "tRNA-Ile". The record is from RNAcentral. Lineage: Eukaryota; Metazoa; Arthropoda; Insecta; Hymenoptera; Andrenidae.
AGUAAUAUGCCUGAUAAAAGGAUUAUUUUGAUGAAAUACUUAUGUAAAAUUUUUACUAUUACUA